Molecule: long non-coding RNA, 598 nt
Organism: Biomphalaria glabrata
Lineage: Eukaryota; Metazoa; Mollusca; Gastropoda; Planorbidae
Exons: 4
Source: RefSeq, a predicted model, not a curated record
CGACAAACAGAAGACUUAGUCUGCUAUACGAAUUGUUAAUAACAGCAUUGUUUUUAAGCGGGUUAUGAAAGUAAAGGAAACAUAUAAAAGGAGGAACAGCAAUUCUCGUUUACCGAUGCACAAUUACAGCAGACGAAGACACACGAAGUAGACGUAAACAUUAGCAGACGUGAGCAGGUGUUGUUUCCCUUUCUCAAAUCAAGUCGUCUAUAGUGAGAGAUAGUGAACUACAGUAUUGGAAGAUGCCUGGAACAGUAUCAACGUACUAUAUAGACCAUAAUCUUGACGAGUAUGACUUCAUGAGUAUGGACUACCACAAACACAUCAGAUCUGCUCACAGCGGGAAGGGGAGGAGCAAGAAGGAAGCCAUGACCAAUACCAACAGAUUUGACCCCUCAGGACAUUGUAGGAAAACAGUACAGAAAUUAAUGAACAAUGCCCAUAAAAGGAAAUGAAAUCAAGAAGUGAACAAUUCCAGGACAUGCAAUACUCAAUGAUUCUUACAACUGGCCAUUUUUAUACUUUUAAGAAAUAUUUUUUAUAUAUUUUUUUAUACUUUUCCAAGUCAUGACAUGUUAGAUGUUUUUUUUGUUUUUGU